CCUACGGGUGGCAGCAGUGAGGAAUAUUGGUCAAUGGGCGUAAGCCUGAACCAGCCAAGUCGCGUGAGGGAUGAAGGUUCUAUGGAUCGUAAACUUCUUUUAUAAGGGAAUAAAGUGAGGGACGUGUGCUUUUUUGCAUGUACCUUAUGAAUAAGGAUCGGCUAACUCCGUGCCAGCAGCCGCGGUAAUACGGAGGAUCCGAGCGUUAUCCGGAUUUAUUGGGUUUAAAGGGUGCGUAGGUGGGCUGUUAAGUCAGUGGUGAAAGUUUGUGGCUCAACCGUAAAAUUGCCGUUGAUACUGGGGGUCUUGAGUAUGUUUGAGGCAGGCGGAAUGCGUGGUGUAGCGGUGAAAUGCUUAGAUAUCACGAAGAACCCCGAUUGCGAAGGCAGCUUGCCAAGCCGUGACUGACGCUGAUGCACGAAAGCGUGGGGAUCAAACAGGAUUAGAUACCCUAGUAGUC
Molecule: ribosomal RNA, 460 nt
Filed under: uncultured bacterium
Lineage: Bacteria
Description: partial 16S ribosomal RNA
Rfam family: Bacterial small subunit ribosomal RNA
Source: RNAcentral